UACGUAGGGCGCAAGCGUUGUCCGGAAUUAUUGGGCGUAAAGAGCUCGUAGGCGGCUUGUCACGUCGGGUGUGAAAGCCCGGGGCUUAACCCCGGGUCUGCAUUCGAUACGGGCAGGCUAGAGUGUGGUAGGGGAGAUCGGAAUUCCUGGUGUAGCGGUGAAAUGCGCAGAUAUCAGGAGGAACACCGGUGGCGAAGGCGGAUCUCUGGGCAGUAACUGACGCUGAGGAGCGAAAGCGUGGGGAGCGAACAGG
This 253-nucleotide ribosomal RNA is filed under the name uncultured bacterium. Its description in RNAcentral is "partial 16S ribosomal RNA". It matches the Rfam family "Bacterial small subunit ribosomal RNA", at positions 524 to 776 of the family's 1533-position model. The record is from RNAcentral.